Long non-coding RNA from Oxyura jamaicensis (ruddy duck), 619 nucleotides. RefSeq lists it as uncharacterized. NCBI's taxonomy places the organism in Eukaryota, Metazoa, Chordata, Aves, Anseriformes, Anatidae. The transcript has 2 exons. The record is from RefSeq and is a predicted model, not a curated record.
AUGCCAAGGUGAGGGAAGAUUGCGUCUAAGUGACAGUAACCUUACUGAAAGGGAAGAGCGACACAUAAAGGAGGGCGGACCGCAGGAGAACCUGUCCUUAAAGUCUCUGAUUCCAGCUCACAAGAUGACAUACCUUGAUGCUCAGUAGGGAUCCGGUUAAGAGGCAGUUUCAGCACAAUAAACCAUGAUCUUUCGCUCUCCAGAACAUGACCUCCAAGGCUAAGUGGCUCAAGGACUGCCCGCUCUAUGGGUAGCAGAUCCAGCUGUGACAGCUUUGCACAGAAAGCUUUCAUAAGGGGAUUGAGACUAGUGAUAGCAGCAACAGUUCAACAGACUGCCAUCAAGUAGCAGGCAGGAUUCCCCUAGAAAAGUGCUUUGGUUCCUUGCAGAGCACCUUAGGAACUGAACAUCUGGGCUUCCAUGCUGCUGUCGGUCCUGUUAGGAGUCGUGGGAGGGACAAACCUGCCCACCUGGCCGAGCAGCUGGUUUUUCUGGGGUACACUGAACAUCAGCAUAUUCCAAGGGGAGAUUUCCUCAAGCGUCCUGCAUUGCAGGAAUACACUGUGUCUGUGGCUUUGCUUGAGUUGGAUGAAAAUUAAAUGAUAACCAAAUCAAAAGU